GAUGAACGCUGGCGGCGUGCUUAACACAUGCAAGUCGAACGGAAAGGCUCCUGCUUGCCGGGGUACUCGAGUGGCGAACGGGUGAGUAACACGUGGGUGAUCUGCCCUGCACUUCGGGAUAAGCCUGGGAAACUGGGUCUAAUACCGGAUAGGACGAAGGUUUGGAUGCCAUUGUGGAAAGUUUUUCGGUGUGGGAUGAGCUCGCGGCCUAUCAGCUUGUUGGUGGGGUAAUGGCCUACCAAGGCGUCGACGGGUAGCCGGCCUGAGAGGGUGUACGGCCACAUUGGGACUGAGAUACGGCCCAGACUCCUACGGGAGGCAGCAGGGGGGAAUAUUGCACAAUGGGCGCAAGCCUGAUGCAGCGACGCCGCGUGGGGGAUGACGGCCUUCGGGUUAUAAACUCCUUUCGCUAGGGACGAAGCGCAAGUGACGGUACCUGGAGAAGAAGCACCGGCUAACUACGUG
Molecule: ribosomal RNA, 465 nt
Filed under: uncultured bacterium
Lineage: Bacteria
Description: partial 16S ribosomal RNA
Rfam family: Bacterial small subunit ribosomal RNA
Source: RNAcentral